AACUUUGCAAUUCUUUUUCAGAGAUGCUAAACAUCUGUCUUGUAGUCUGGUAUUUGUUUACGCAUGUGGUCUACAAACGUGCAUGUAUCUGUUGUGGUGUUCUGGCUUGUGACAUUUUGUUGAAUUGUGACAAGUUAUUUGUGUUCUGAAUUUGCCUAAACUUGUGCAUUGAAAAUGGCUUCAGGCCUUGAAGGUUAUUUAAAUCGUACAGUGUCAGUAAUAACAGCCGAUGGGCGUAAUUUUGUGGGAACCUUGAAAGGUUUCGACCAGACAAUUAAUCUUAUAUUGGAUGAAAGUCACGAAAGGGUAUAUAGCAAUGUGCAAGGCGUUGAGCAAGUCGUUCUCGGACUUCACAUCAUCCGCGGAGACAAUGUGGCCAUUGUGGGUGAAAUUGACGACCACCUAGACUCGAGAUUGGAUUUAUCGAGUAUUCGGGCCGAACCACUAAACGCAGUGGUCCAUUGAAGCCCAUAUUUGACGCUGUUGAAAUUAUGCUUUUUUAAACGACUGUAACGUAAAAUAGUGUGUAAAAUAACUACGACAUUGUGGUAAAAUAUGAAAGUCGUACAGUUCUGAAGUAUUCAGUGUUUGUUCAAAAAACUGUAAUCAUAUGGCUUGAAUGUUCGAUGGUUUGCAAUCACUUUCGUGUGGCCAAAAAUAUUAAUAACACCUUUUAAAAAAUGCAGAUGGGUCUCUAUUAUUGCAAAUAUGCCUACAUCGUGGAUGUAAAAGAGAUUUUCCGUUGGUUAUAACUGUCCAAACCAUUAAACUUCAAUCAAAAGUCAAGUGCUUCCGGGUGGCAAAUAGAACGUGACAUGUCUGCAUUGCAGUAGCAUCAUUAAAACACCAAAAUAAAUCAUAUUUCCGUUUCAUCUAUGCAACCGGACUUUCAGGGCAACAACAUAUUACAACUUGCAGACUAAUCAGCUAAUGCAGUGACCCAUUUGCGAGUGAAGUUAUUUGACUUGAUUCGGAGUCCACUUCUUCUGUGCUAUAAGAAAAUUGUGUGUCUUCCCAACUUUCUAAUGAUACUGAGAACAAAACUGGGGGUACUAAUUGCCGCAUCAGCAAAAAUGCACAUAAACACACAAAUUGUGUAUAUUAUGUAAGUACUAGUUUAUUUAGGAUUUCAUUAUGUGAAAACAUUUUUUUAUGAACUGUGAAAAGAUUUUCCUCCAACUAUCACAUUCACUGUUACAUUAUGAAUGUUGAAUAUAUCGUUGACCAAAAACUUUACAGUUCUUAGAUAAUAGAAAUUGUUAAAAUUGAGUGUCAUCAAAAGUAUUCAGGAAUUUCUUUACUAAUAAUCUGCUGAGUAGGAGUGGAAGAUAUCAAUUAGUCAGUACUGUUCUUUAUUUUUGUAUUCCAUAGCUUUUUUCUCUCCCCCAUAUAUAUUAAAUUUGGAGAAAGUAUAGACUAUAUUGAAAAAUGUUCCUUCUUACAAAAUGCUUAUGAACUAGGUACACGUUUCUACAAAAGUAUACAGUGCUCAGUUUUGAAACAGGGUGAAAUACAACAUGUUUGUAUAAAUAUCUUUGUGGAUGUCUUAUAUCUGUUUUUUGUGGCUUCAAAAGAAAGUCAUAGCCCUGAAAUCUUGUUCCACAUAGCCACUAUAGAAAUAGUAUGAUCAUUUUUUACUAGUCUCCCUGUACGUAUGCCAGACUGAGUACCGGCCUUUAUUUAUUUGUCCCAUAGUUCACUUACAUGAAAGAGGCCUAUAGUCUAAGCAAAAUACAUUUAUGCAACACAUGAAAUAAUAUCCACUUUCUAAUUCUGUAUCCAUGUUACACUUUCAAAAAUGUAUGACAUUAAUUUUAUAAAAUUAUUAACUUGAAAAAAGUUAAUAGCAACAUGGCUGUAUUGUAACUGAAUACUGAGCUUCUCUUGUCAAAACAUGUACCUGAUUAUGAGUCACAUUUGGAAAACCUGAUAAAUCACACUUUCUCCACUCUGCUUUUACACCAGAAGACUGUAAAGAAUAAUAAUUCCUUUAAAAAACUGAUAUUUUCAAUAUUCAGAAUCAAUUUGCAGUUGAAAAAAAUAUACACAACAAAAUCAUAAUAUGCCAACACUACUUGAUUGAAAGGAUAUUCAGUGAGUUAAAUUUGUAAGUCAACAUUUUAUUGCGAUCAUUUAUUUACAUCAUCACAUAUUGAGGACAACCCAUUUUGCUGUACAGCCAGUGGGAGAGAAGGUUGUCACACCAUGAAUAACUUUGAUUUCAACCACUGAAUGGAAAGACUAGAAUUGUAAUUGUACAAAAUGAAAUUUACAUCAACAGAAAUUUGAUGUGUUUAUUACAAUAAAGUUUGGAGAAGAAUGUUGUACAUGAAAUUAAAUAUUUUGUGAUAAUUUGUUUGUGAGAGACAAUAAGUGUAACAUAUUAUUCCAGAAAUUCCAUGUUUUUUUGUCUUGUGGUACAUAAAAGUUCAGUCUCAAGCAUAAUGUGUGCUGUAAAAUUUUAGUGAAAUAAAAACUUUGUAUUUUAAUAAUUAUUGGCAGAUCAGUAUCGUGGGUUGUAUUUGCUAAUAUGUUUUGCUUCCGGUAAGUCCAUAAAGUACAUUCUGUUAAAAAUAACUCAGAAAAGGCUUUGCACCUUCCCCACGACUUGCUCAGGAUGAGAUUUUUUUCUCUCCCCUGCGGAGAACCUCUUUCUCAAUAUUCUUUUGGCUACAGGAAAUCAAAAUAUACAACCACCUGUGCAGCUGAGAUGAAAGUAAAUCUGGAUUCUAAGUGCAGUUCUGUGGUGCAUAUCGGUCUCCAAUCAUGAAUCGGACAGUGUAGCUUGUAAAAAUUUUUCCACUUCAUAAUGGCUUUUUACAGCAAGCAGUAUGUAUGAUAUGAAGAUAGAGGACUGCUUGCUUUUUCAUACAAUUCGACUUGUGUUAGCUGUUCAGUAUUGUCAGCUCAAGCUAGGACUGUGUGCAAAUUGUUACUUUUGGCAAUAAGUUUCAUCAAUAAGGGAAGGUGCCUGUCUGGCCAGUGCAACUACAGCAAUGCCAUUCAAACACUCAUCCAUUAUAGUGAGACACAAGACACUGAAUAUCAGCCUUGAAGUGGUCACCCACAGUCGCUAAUGCUAGCUGUUUGUGACCUGCACAGUAUGAGUCAUGGGUAGUGAUGUAAAAUGCCUGGGCAUUUAUAGGUUGGGCUAAAUGCCCAGGGAUUUAUGCAUUUUAAAGAUUAAA
This is a long non-coding RNA of Schistocerca gregaria, 3188 nucleotides long. RefSeq lists it as uncharacterized. NCBI's taxonomy places the organism in Eukaryota, Metazoa, Arthropoda, Insecta, Orthoptera, Acrididae. The record is from RefSeq and is a predicted model, not a curated record. The transcript has 2 exons.